Ornithorhynchus anatinus (platypus) is the source of this 138-nucleotide small nucleolar RNA. The record is from RefSeq and is a predicted model, not a curated record. NCBI's taxonomy places the organism in Eukaryota, Metazoa, Chordata, Mammalia, Monotremata, Ornithorhynchidae.
CCCCUCUCGUGGUCGCACCUGGAGAGUUUCCAGGGGUCUACUAGUCUCGGCUACGGGAGGGAGAGUCAAGCAGAGGCAGACCCAUUCCAUUCCUGGCUUGUGCAGUGGCUAGCGAGUGGAAGGCCAUCUGCUACAAGU